CUACGGGGGGCAGCAGUGGGGAAUAUUGCACAAUGGGGGGAACCCUGAUGCAGCGACGCCGCGUGAGUGAAGAAGUAUUUCGGUAUGUAAAGCUCUAUCAGCAGGGAAGAAGAUGACGGUACCUGACUAAGAAGCCCCGGCUAACUACGUGCCAGCAGCCGCGGUAAUACGUAGGGGGCAAGCGUUAUCCGGAUUUACUGGGUGUAAAGGGAGCGUAGACGGCAGGGCAAGUCUGGAGUGAAAGCCCGGGGCUCAACCCCGGGACUGCAUUGGAAACUACCGAACUAGAGUGUCGGAGAGGUAAG
This 305-nucleotide ribosomal RNA is filed under the name uncultured bacterium. RNAcentral describes it as "bacterial SSU rRNA". It matches the Rfam family "Bacterial small subunit ribosomal RNA", at positions 339 to 661 of the family's 1533-position model. The record is from RNAcentral.